GAUAAGAACGUAGCGAAAUGCGAUAAGUAGUGUGAAUUGCAGAAUUCAGUGAAUCAUCGAAUCUUUGAACGCACAUUGCGCCCUUUGGUAUUCCUUAGGGCAUGCCUGUUCGAGCGUCAUUUAAACCUUCAAGCUAAGCUUGGUGUUGGGUGACUGUCCGCUUCACUGCGGACUCGCCUCAAAAUUAUUGGCGGCCGGUACAUUGGCUUCGAGCGCAGCAGAAACGCGAACUCGGGCCCGUCGUAUUGGCUCCCAGAAGCUAUCUUCACAAUUUUGACCUCGGAUCAGGUAGGGAUACCCGCUGAACUUAAGCAUAUCAAUAAGCGGAGGA
This 331-nucleotide unclassified non-coding RNA is filed under the name soil metagenome. RNAcentral describes it as "partial contains 5.8S ribosomal RNA, internal transcribed spacer 2, and large subunit ribosomal RNA". The stretch from base 4 to 119 matches the Rfam family "5.8S ribosomal RNA", at positions 39 to 154 of the family's 154-position model. The record is from RNAcentral.